RNAcentral lists this ribosomal RNA (468 nucleotides) under uncultured bacterium. Its description in RNAcentral is "partial 16S ribosomal RNA". It matches the Rfam family "Bacterial small subunit ribosomal RNA", at positions 28 to 507 of the family's 1533-position model. The record is from RNAcentral.
GACGAACGCUGGCGGCGUGCUUAACACAUGCCAGUCGAACGGAAAGGCCCUGCUUUUGUGGGGUGCUCGAGUGGCGAACGGGUGAGUAACACGUGAGUAACCUGCCCUUGACUUUGGGAUAACUUCAGGAAACUGGGGCUAAUACCGGAUAGGAUCUCCUGCUGCAUGGUGGGGGUUGGAAAGUUUCGGCGGUUGGGGAUGGACUCGCGGCUUAUCAGCUUGUUGGUGGGGUAGUGGCUUACCAAGGCUUUGACGGGUAGCCGGCCUGAGAGGGUGACCGGCCACAUGGGGACUGAGAUACGGCCCAGACUCCUACGGGAGGCAGCAGGGGGGAAUAUUGCACAAUGGGCGGAAGCCUGAUGCAGCAACGCCGCGUGCGGGAUGACGGCCUUCGGGUUGUAAACCGCUUUCGCCUGUGACGAAGCGUGAGUGACGGUAAUGGGUAAAGAAGCACCGGCUAACUACGUG